RNAcentral lists this small RNA (27 nucleotides) under Bombyx mori (domestic silkworm). Its description in RNAcentral is "ovarian small RNA-31702". Lineage: Eukaryota; Metazoa; Arthropoda; Insecta; Lepidoptera; Bombycidae. The record is from RNAcentral.
UGACGACGACGACAAGGAAGAGGCGGA